Molecule: unclassified non-coding RNA, 702 nt
Filed under: Hevea brasiliensis (rubber tree)
Lineage: Eukaryota; Viridiplantae; Streptophyta; Magnoliopsida; Malpighiales; Euphorbiaceae
Source: RNAcentral
AAAAACCUUGAGCUUUAAUUCCUUCCUCUCUUGCCAGCCCACUUUCCUUUCAAUACCUUUCAUCUUCACAAUACCAUUGGAUCGAAUUCUAGCUCAGAAUUCAGUCUGAUGGUCUUGAGGUUCUGAACAAAAUCUAGGGAAAGGGAAAGGACCUUUUCUCUCUCUCUCUCUGUCACUGCAUUAGCUAGAGAUUAAGGAGACAUUUCCUAAUCAGGAUUUGUGAACAUGGAAAAGGUGAUGGGACUGGCCUCAGAGAAGGGGGUUGUGAUAUUCAGCAAGAGCUCAUGUUGCAUGUGUUAUGCAGUCAAAAUACUGUUUCAAGGAAUUGGGGUGGAACCUCUGGUUUAUGAGAUUGACCAAGACCCUGAAGGCAGGGAAAUGGAAAGAGCCCUCAUGAGGAUGGGGUGUACUGCUCCUGUACCAGCUGUGUUCAUUGGUGGAAAGCUGAUGGGAUCUACCAAUGAAAUCAUGUCCCUCCAUCUAAGUGGCACACUCAACCAAAUGCUCAAGCCAUACCAGGCUUUAUCUUAAAUUCACUACUUAUACGCCACCAAGUAUAAUAAAAAUUGGCUUGAUUUAGUAGUCUAGCUAGUAUGCUCUGUAUUAAUUAGUAUAUCUAGCUGUUUGUGCUAAGUAUUGAUCGUUUUUCAUUUACUAGUAUGUAAUGUUUUCUCCUUUUGUUAAUGAAAUUAGCUUUAUGUA